This 427-nucleotide ribosomal RNA is filed under the name uncultured fungus. Its description in RNAcentral is "SSU rRNA". It matches the Rfam family "Eukaryotic small subunit ribosomal RNA", at positions 215 to 653 of the family's 1831-position model. The record is from RNAcentral. Lineage: Eukaryota; Fungi.
AAUAACACCGGCACGGUCUUUGGUGAUUCAUAGUAACUUUUCGAAUCGCAUGACUUUACGUCGGCGAUGGUUCAUUCAAAUUUCUUGCCCUAUCAAGUUUCGAUGGUAGGAUAGAGGCCUACCAUGCUUUUUACGGGUAACGGCGAAUUAGGGUUCGAUUCCGGAGAGGGAGCCUGAGAAACGGCUACCACAUCUAAGGAAGGCAGCAGGCGCGCAAAUUACCCAAUCCUGAUUCAGGGAGGUAGUGACAAUAAAUAACAAUCCAGGACUUCGGUCUUGGAAUUGGAAUGAGAACAAUUUAAAUCUCUUAUCGAGGAACAAUUGGAGGGCAAGUCUGGUGCCAGCAGCCGCGGUAAUUCCAGCUCCAAUAGCGUAUAUUAAAGUUGUUGCAGUUAAAUAGCUCGUAGUUGAAUCUUGGGGCUGGUUU